UCAAAUGUCUAGAAUAUAAAAAAGGAAAGUU
This 31-nucleotide non-coding RNA is filed under the name Rattus norvegicus (Norway rat). Lineage: Eukaryota; Metazoa; Chordata; Mammalia; Rodentia; Muridae. The record is from RNAcentral.